Canis lupus familiaris (dog) is the source of this 845-nucleotide long non-coding RNA. RefSeq lists it as uncharacterized. The transcript is spliced from 3 exons. The record is from RefSeq and is a predicted model, not a curated record. NCBI's taxonomy places the organism in Eukaryota, Metazoa, Chordata, Mammalia, Carnivora, Canidae.
UUCAGUUACAACCCCCCUGAGACCUGAGGAAGGGAGGGGCAUUAGAGGUUGAAUCCACAGCCGGUGACCAAUGAUUUAAUCAACCACACCUAUGUAAUGAAACCUCCAUAAACACCCAAAGAGACCAGGUUUAGAGAAUUUCCAGGCUGGUAAACAUCGGAGAUGUGGAGAGAGCGGUGCACCUGGAGAGGGCAUGACAGAUCCGUACCCUUUCCCCAUGCUUUGCCCUAUGCAUCUCUUCUACCUGGCUGUUCCUGAGUUAUACUCUUUUAUAACACACUGGUCAUCUAGUGAAGCCCACCCAGUUUUCCUAUUGGUACAGAUCCUAGAUCCCUCAGGCACUGGACUAGAGUGGAAGAACAAUCAAAUAUCUUCCCAUCUUCGGUGUAGGUUGCUCUGUCUAAUGAACCAAAGCAUGGGUGCUGGGAAGAAGAAAUGGGGCAAAAUGGGCAUAGUUGGGGGUUACCUGACAGCUGUGUUACAUCUUCUAAAGUCUAUCAUAUGGUAAGUGAUCAACUGUGCCUCAUCAAGAGCACAGAGAUAUAGAAUUUAUUGAUUACUGUAGGAUGACUUAUUAUCUGGACUUGAAGUAUAUUACCAAGUAGCAGAUAGUUGCUGAAAAGGUACAAAAUCGUAAGACAUAAAAAGAAUUCAGUGUUUCCUGUCAGAUUCUUUAGGACUUCACUGAGAGCUUCCAGUGUACUUGUUCAAUUCAAUUCUGCAAAAAAGUAUUGCCCAUUUCAUGCCAGACACUGUGCUGGAAAAGCAGAGAUAAAUAGGGCAUCCUGUCUGUCCUCCACAUGCUCAAAGUCUGAGGGAGGAGGACAGAGUUAUCAAUGACUAUA